GGGUGGGAGAAAGGGGCUAGGCAAGAAGUGGGGGGACUCCGCAGAGUGUGGACAGAGCACGUGAGCCCGUGCUUUCAAAGACCUACUGGAUUCCGUGUAGGCAGAGAGUGGAUGGAGGGCCGGCAGCAGAGGAACGUGGCCCGAAGCAGGCUCAUGGGUGCAGCCGGAAAGGGCUGGGGCGAGGGGACUUUGCGGCUGGCAGAAAUGACCGGACUUGGUGCUCCGCUGGAUGGGGGUGGGGAGAGGGCAGGUGCUGAGGCCACAGCUUCCUAUGCUUCAGGCUGACCCCACUUCGCACAGGUGUGCACCACGGUUAGCACAUCGGCCACGUCACCUCUGUGCUAGGCACUUCCAUUAACUCUGAAUCGCUGGAGACCAGGGGAUUGAGACCAACUUGUAUUCUUUUUUUUUUUUUUUUCUUUUAAUUACAGGGCCCUGAGAGUAUUUUUCUUCUGCCUCCUUGGGUCUCACAUUGUUUCCUAAUGUCACUGUUAGGGCUUUUAAAGUCUCUUAGGCAGGAAUUUGUAGUGACAGAUGAUGGGGUCUGUUCUCAGGUCCCAGAUUCAGGGAAGGACUGGAAAGUGCUCAAUGAGGAGACAGACCCUUGGGGACCAGCCAGAGAGUCACAGAGGUCCCACCUGAAACGGCGGGUUCAUCCAGAGGGAAGCACUUUGAUGGGGUCACGGAGCUCACAACAAAGAUCAGGGAAACAGCCAGAAGCCUGGCUGACGGCACAGCCUCCCAGGAACCUUCCCUAGGAAAGGGGUCUUGGAGACCAGGAGACAGGCGCUGCGCAUGGGACAGCUGGGGCCCAGGGAGCAGCCGCGUGUGAGGACAGAGCUGCACUCCUCUGUCAGGAAAGGCGGAUACACACAGGCCCGGCACAGAGGGCCCUCCGCAGGGACAUUUCACAGAGGAAUGACAAAAACGACUCUCUGGGUAAGGAUGCCUGUUCCCUCAGGCCCAGAGUGGAGGUGUUCAUUUGUUCAGAGAGAGAGAGACUGGGAGACCGGAGAAAGGAGACAGACAGAGGCAGACCACUGGGUCGAGGCAAGACGGAAAUAAACAGGAAGAGCCUGAGAGCAGGCCUUCAGGAGGCAGCCGGGCCCUUCGGACAGUCUCAGGACCACUGUCUCAAAUUGUCUCAAAUCGUCUCUGCCCGCGCCCCCCACGCCGGGC
This is a long non-coding RNA of Prionailurus viverrinus (fishing cat), 1179 nucleotides long. RefSeq lists it as uncharacterized. NCBI's taxonomy places the organism in Eukaryota, Metazoa, Chordata, Mammalia, Carnivora, Felidae. The transcript is spliced from 4 exons. The record is from RefSeq and is a predicted model, not a curated record.